AAUUGCAUAGCAUAGUGGUUUAAGCAUUAGACUUCAGCUCUGAAGACAAGGGUUCAAAUCCCUGCUCAGCCA
Molecule: non-coding RNA, 72 nt
Organism: Phrynosoma platyrhinos (Desert horned lizard)
Lineage: Eukaryota; Metazoa; Chordata; Lepidosauria; Squamata; Phrynosomatidae
Source: the annotation of a GenBank genome assembly